ACAAAAACGAUGAAGUACGAUUCUUUUAUUACCUUUUAGGAGUAUUAUUUUUGGACACAAACCAAAGCAAUUAUAUCACCUAAAUUAAAGAGGAGGGAAGAAUAUUUAGUACUAUUUUUUAUAAGUUAACAAAGAUACUUUUCGUUAAGGUUCAAUGUCCGAUUCGCAAAUCACAAUUAGGUAAAGUAGAUUGCUUUACUUUAGACAUAUUCUUGUUGUCCCAAAAAGUUCAUUAUUAAAUGGUGAAUAUAGCAGCCAUGGAAGCAUUCAUUUAUUGUGAAAUUGGCAAAGGCCAUGUGUCAACAACCAGACUUAGUUUCCUGUCUCCUUAGAACUCAAGGAUACAGUAGCAAUUUCCAGUAAAGUGUUCUGCCGAUGUGGGACAAGGAGCAACUACAGAAAACUUAGUGGUGUGUUUUCACCAACACCAUUCAGUAAGUUAAGCAGAGAGGUGUCUGCAAUACCAUGUGAAUCCUCAUUGUUCAUCUGCUUGCUAAUUUUGCUGUCAAACACUCUGGAUUUGGAUGCAAUAAGAAUAGAAAGAUCUGCAGAAGGUCACGUUGCUGGCUGCGGUACUAUGUAUCUACAGCAUGACACUUGAAUUUUCAAGAUCAAUUUAUAUAUUAUUGUUCUUCUGAUUUUUGUGUUGCAACACUAGUGUUUACUUCAUAGUUAUCCUGUAUAUUAAAAGAGAAUCAAAUAUAUGCUCCAUUGAUUUCUUUUCUCUAUUUCCAAACAGAAAUCUAAAGAAAGAACAAUGUCAUUUUAACUGAUUCUCCCACAUCACCAGGAGGGAAGAGAAGUGAAGCAAAAGAACUAGCAUAAAAUAUGGGCUGGGCACACAGAAUAACAUACUUACCUGGACGGGGUCAAUGGGUGAUCAAUAAGGCCCAUGGCCUAGGUUGGUGACCUCCAUUGCACACGUAGGAGGGGUGCCCGCUUAAGGUCGGCCCAAGUGGUCGAGCCUACGUUAUAAUUUGUGGCAGCGGGGGCCUGCGUUCGCGCAGCCCCUACCCAAUUCAAGUCUAAACUUUUUUCAGUCCAUUGAGAAAUUGGUCCACUUGUUUAUUCUGACGUUGUAUUUUAAUGGAAAUUCCAAUAAUAUGUUGCGUGGCAGCGGGGGCCUGCGUUCGCGCGGCCCCUACCCAAUUCAAGUCUAAACUUUUUUCAGUCCAUUGAGAAAUUGGUCCACUUGUUUAUUCUGACGUUGUAUUUUAAUGGAAAUUCCAAUAAUA
Long non-coding RNA from Lycium barbarum (goji berry), 1235 nucleotides. RefSeq lists it as uncharacterized. The transcript is spliced from 2 exons. NCBI's taxonomy places the organism in Eukaryota, Viridiplantae, Streptophyta, Magnoliopsida, Solanales, Solanaceae. The record is from RefSeq and is a predicted model, not a curated record.